GCAGCCAGAAUAACCUCCUAAGGGAUAUCUGCAGUGUUUAACGCUCGCCCAUCCGGUUGAUCCCGCCGGACCCGACUGCUAUCAGAGUGGGACUAAGCCAUGCGAGUCAACGCAGCAAUGCGUGGCAUACGGCUCAGUAACACGUAGUCAACAUGCCCAGGGACGUGGAUAACCUCGGGAAACUGAGGAUAAACCGCGAUAGGCCAAGGUUUCUGGAAUGGAUCAUGGCUGAAACCUAUAUGGCCCCUGGAUUGGACUGCGGCCGAUCAGGCUGUGGUGAGGUAAUGGCCCACCAAACUGUAACCGGUACGGGCUCUGAAGGAGGAGCCCGGAAUGGGCACUGAGACAAGGGCCCAGGCCCUAUGGGGCGCAGCAGGCGCGAAACCUCUGCAAUAGGCGAAAGCUUGACAGGGUUACUCUGAUGUGAUGUCCGUUUAACGGGCAUCUUUUGGCCCACUCUUUAGAACUGGUGUCAGAAUAAGGGGUGGGCAAGUCUGGUGUCAGCCGCCGCGGUAAUACCAGCACCCCGAUUGGUCGGGACGAUUAUUGGGCCUAAAGCAUCCGUAGCCGGUUCUGCAAGUCUUCCGUUAAAUCCACCUGCUCAACAGAUGGGCUGCGGGGGAUACUACAGGGCUAGGAGGCGGGAGAGGCAACGGUACUCAGUGGGUAGGGGUAAAAUCCUCUGAUCCACUGAAGACCACCAGUGGCGAAGGCUGGCUUGCCAGAACGCGCUCUGACGGUGAGGGAUGAAAGCUGGGGGAGCAAACCGGAUUAGAUACCCGGGUAGUCCCAGCUGUAAACGAUGCAGACUCGGUGAUGGGUUGGCAUUCGAGCCAACCCAGUGCCGCAGGGAAGCCGUUAAGUCUGCCGCCUGGGGAGUACGGUCGCAAGACUGAAACUUAAAGGAAUUGGCGGGGGAGCACCACAAAGGGGUGAAGCCUGCGGUUCAAUUGGAGUCAACGCCGGA
Molecule: ribosomal RNA, 967 nt
Filed under: uncultured archaeon
Lineage: Archaea
Description: bacterial SSU rRNA
Rfam family: Archaeal small subunit ribosomal RNA
Source: RNAcentral